Molecule: small nucleolar RNA, 86 nt
Organism: Andrographis paniculata
Lineage: Eukaryota; Viridiplantae; Streptophyta; Magnoliopsida; Lamiales; Acanthaceae
Source: RefSeq, a predicted model, not a curated record
AGCAAUCAAUGAUGAAGCUAAUUUGUAAUUGCUGAUUUACCUGUGAUUAGCACACAAAUUUUCACCAUCUUUCGGCUGAGAUUGCU